GAAUAAAAUGUACUGCAAAUCGUGCAAUAAAUUAAAAAGUCAACGGAAGCGCACUGGUUCUUGAACCCCACCAACUUCACACUCACCACAUUACAGAAAAGGAGGAAAUUGAGAAAUAAACAUGGCCAACCAAUCAUCCAAGCGCACGCACACAGCCUCCGGGGCUUUGAUCCGAACCAAACAACGACAUGCUGCAAUGGAUGCUGCUCAUCACAGCCUGAAUCUCACUUUAUGCUGCCAACACUACGAUUGAGAGAAACCAAACAACAAUGCACGGCGACGGUCACUCGGCGCGCGCUUAGAAGUCGCUGCUGGCGACGGGGGCGUGGUCGCCGCACAUGUAGAUGUACCGGUAGACGAUGCCGGCGAGGCCUCCGCCGACAAGCGGGCCGACCCAGUAGAUCCAGAUGUUGGUGAAGUCGCCGCUGGCCACGGCGGGGCCGAAGGAGCGGGCCGGGUUCAUGGACCCGCCGGA
This 475-nucleotide long non-coding RNA is filed under the name Setaria viridis. Its description in RNAcentral is "long non-coding RNA (SVIR_LNC004621)". Lineage: Eukaryota; Viridiplantae; Streptophyta; Magnoliopsida; Poales; Poaceae. The record is from RNAcentral.